UACGUAGGGUGCAAGCAUUAAUCGGAAUUAUUGGGCGUAAAGGGCGCGUAGGCGGUCGAAGAAGUCAGAUGUGAAAUUUCGGGGCUCAACCUCGAAGCUGCAUUUGAAACUGAGCGACUAGAGGGUUGGCGGAGAAAAUGGAAUUCCACGUGUAGCGGUGAAAUGCGUAGAUAUGUGGAAGAACACCAGUGGCGAAAGCGGUUUUCUAGCUUACACCUGACGCUGAGGCGCGAGAGCAAGGGGAGCAAACAGG
Molecule: ribosomal RNA, 253 nt
Filed under: uncultured bacterium
Lineage: Bacteria
Description: partial 16S ribosomal RNA
Rfam family: Bacterial small subunit ribosomal RNA
Source: RNAcentral